This 254-nucleotide ribosomal RNA is filed under the name uncultured bacterium. RNAcentral describes it as "partial 16S ribosomal RNA". It matches the Rfam family "Bacterial small subunit ribosomal RNA", at positions 524 to 776 of the family's 1533-position model. The record is from RNAcentral.
GACGUAGGGUGCAAGCGUUGUCCGGAUUUACUGGGCGUAAAGGGCGCGUAGGCGGCCUCUGCAAGUCGACUGUGAAAUCUCCGGGCUUAACCCGGAACGGUCAGCCGAUACUGCAGGGCUAGAGUGCAGAAGGGGCAACUGGAAUUCUCGGUGUAGCGGUGAAAUGCGUAGAUAUCGAGAGGAACACCUGCGGCGAAGGCGGGUUGCUGGGCUGACACUGACGCUGAGGCGCGAAAGCUAGGGGAGCGAACGGG